This 425-nucleotide ribosomal RNA is filed under the name uncultured bacterium. Its description in RNAcentral is "bacterial SSU rRNA". It matches the Rfam family "Bacterial small subunit ribosomal RNA", at positions 917 to 1341 of the family's 1533-position model. The record is from RNAcentral.
GGGCCCGCACAAGCGGUGGAGCAUGUGGUUUAAUUCGAUGCAACGCGAAAAACCUUACCUACUCUUGACAUCCUUGGAAUACCUUAGCAGUAAGGUAGUGCCUUCGGGAGCCAAGUGACAGGUGCUGCAUGGCUGUCGUCAGCUCGUGUCGUGAGAUGUUGGGUUAAGUCCCGUAACGAGCGAAACCCCUGUUCUUUGUUGCCAGCACGUAAUGGUGGGGACUCUAAGAAGACUGCCGGUGUUAAAUCGGAGGAAGGUGGGGACGAUGUCAAGUCAUCAUGGCCCUUACGAGUAGGGCUACACACGUGCUACAAUGGGCAGUACAGAGGGUUGCAAAGCCGCGAGGCCAAGCUAAUCUCAGAAAGCUGCUCUCAGUCCGGAUUGGAGUCUGCAACUCGACUCCAUGAAGUCGGAAUCGCUAGUAA